This 232-nucleotide ribosomal RNA is filed under the name uncultured bacterium. Its description in RNAcentral is "partial 16S ribosomal RNA". It matches the Rfam family "Bacterial small subunit ribosomal RNA", at positions 99 to 334 of the family's 1533-position model. The record is from RNAcentral.
CGGACGGGUGAGUAAUGUCUGGGAAACUGCCUGAUGGAGGGGGGUAACUACUGGAAACGGUAGCUAAUACCGCAUAACGUCGCAAGACCAAAGAGGGGGACCUUCGGGCCUCUUGCCAUCGGAUGUGCCCAGAUGGGAUUAGCUAGUAGGUGGGGUAACGGCUCACCUAGGCGACGACCCCUAGCUGGUCUGAGAGGAUGACCAGCCACACUGGAACUGAGACACGGUCCAG